This 328-nucleotide ribosomal RNA is filed under the name uncultured eukaryote. Its description in RNAcentral is "partial 18S ribosomal RNA". It matches the Rfam family "Eukaryotic small subunit ribosomal RNA", at positions 1470 to 1796 of the family's 1831-position model. The record is from RNAcentral.
CCCUUAGAUGUCCUGGGCCGCACGCGCGUUACACUGAUGCAUUCAACGAGCUUAUAACCUUGGCCGAGAGGCCUGGGCAAUCUUGUUAACGUGCAUCGUGAUAGGGAUAGAUUAUUGAAAUUAUUAAUCUUGAACGAGGAAUUCCUAGUAAACGCAGAUCAUCAAUCUGCAUUGAUUACGUCCCUGCCCUUUGUACACACCGCCCGUCGCACCUACCGUUUGGAUGGUCCGGUGAAGCCUCGGGAUUGUGGUUCUUGCCGCUUUAUUGUGGCGUGACCGCGAGAACUUGUCUAAACCUUAUCAUCUAGAGGAAGGUGAAGUCGUAACA